UGAACUCUGUUAGCUCUUCUCUCACUAUCUUUUUUCCUAGGGUUCUUCUCUCACUAUCUUUUUCUCAGACAGGGUAAUAGGAAUAGAAUGGCCUUUUGUUUCACUGAAACUCUGAAUUUAUAGCCUGAUUUUUGUGGACCUGUGGACUCAAAUGAAAGAGGUCCAAGUCCAAGAUUUUUUCUUUUAUUUAUUUAUUUAUUUAUUUAUUUAUUUAUUUAUUUAUUGCCUUAUUU
Molecule: long non-coding RNA, 233 nt
Filed under: Lathyrus oleraceus (garden pea)
Lineage: Eukaryota; Viridiplantae; Streptophyta; Magnoliopsida; Fabales; Fabaceae
Description: Pisum sativum (pea) long non-coding RNA (PSAT_LNC021174)
Source: RNAcentral